UUACAGUUCAAAAGCAGAAUUUUCAACUUUUUAAUAACAAUCCCUUCACGCCGCGCCGAUAUGUGUUUCUGUACUAAUUUGCGCUCUUAUUUCGCGUUGGAUACUUUUACCUAUAGAUAUGUCAUUCUAUAAUUAGGAUUGUUUCUGGGGCUCGCUUGCAAUAUAUAUAUAUUCAACAUUUUCUUUCCUAUUUCCGUACAUUUUGUAUUUUCCUCGUUCGUGGUAAUUAGUUUUUAUUAGCACAAUGAGCAAACGAUCACGUACCGAAAUAGAAGUUCAAUUUCUUAGCGACUGUGUAUACUCUGCGUUAGUCAAAUCUGGAUACUCAAAGCUUCCUUUCUACAGUGUUUCGGAGGGUGACAGUUCCUUCGCUUAAGUACACCAAGACUUCUUUUGAGAUGAGGAUAAGAAUUAGGACCGGUGUCCAGCUUUCCCUGUACGAAAGACAGAAAUUCGAAGGGUGACAGUUCCAUCUCUUAAAUACACCAAAACUUCAUUUGAGAUGAGGAUAAGAAUUUCAUUUUGGACCGGUGUCCGAUGGAAGGGAAGUUAUGUUUCUCUGUCAGCUUGCCAAAUGUUUUCUAUCCUUCACUGCAAUCGUCAAAAACACGGAGUCUACUUAAAGAUCAUGAACAUUUUCAACAUUCGUCUGAAUAAACUGAAGGAACUGUAGCGUAAAUAUAUCUGCAAAGACAGAACAUUCUAACUUACUCACCGGAUUGGAUCGAGCUGUUUUGAAAUGUGAAACAAAUGAGUAACAUAUAAAUAUUUGUUUUAUUAGAAUUGGUUUAACCCCCCAGUUCCAUGGCCAGAUAUUAUGCCAAAUUAUUAGACGGAGGUCCAUUUCCCGUAGAUCAUCUCCGGAGAUGAUUCUCCGGCUCCGUCAACUGUAUUAGACGGAGAUUAAGCUCUGAGCUCUCCGGGAAUUUCUCGGAGAUUAAUUCAUACAUAAUCAUACAGAAUCAACAAAAUUACCGUAGAUGGUCUCCGGUCAUGGAACUGCAAACCGGAGAAAUAUCAGUAGACGAUCUCCGUCUAAUAAUUUGGCAUAAUAUCCGGCCGUGGAACUGGGGUGUAAGGAAUUGCUUUCUUAUGAUUUAAAUUAUUUAUAGCGUUGUAGGGCCCUGAAAGUAGAUGUUUGGGGCCGUUCACAUUACGUAAUCGGAGCCCAAUCGGAGAGAGAGGCGGUGUUUAUAUGAUAACGUUUGUGUAAUUUUAACACAAUAACUAACUUGUAACUGUAAAACUGGUUAUAUAGGGAGUAAGGGAGCUAAAAUAGGCUGAAAAGUGAUGUCUUAACAUAUGAUCGGAACGACUCUCAGCUGUUUUAUUGUAAUUGGUGUAUCUUGCUCUUAUUAUUUAAAUUUUAGCGUUGUCAUGUAGGCCCUGAAAGCAGAUGUUUGGGGCCUCGGGCCAUUUACAUUACGUAAUCAUUGCGAAGAGAGAGGCGGUCUUCAUAUGAUGUUUGUUUGUGUAAUUUUACGAGCCAGAUGUUUUGUGUUUGAGUCAAAAGUUCUAAAUAUUCUGUUACCAGUGCACAGCAAGUUCAUCGAGUGUAGUAUGAACUUUCAGCACAUAAGAUAAGAACUACUGUGCAGCUGGAUAGUUACUCAUUCAGAUGUGAAAUCAUUGUACAUUUGUUUAAUCG
This is a long non-coding RNA of Bolinopsis microptera, 1648 nucleotides long. RefSeq lists it as uncharacterized. The record is from RefSeq and is a predicted model, not a curated record. The transcript has 4 exons. NCBI's taxonomy places the organism in Eukaryota, Metazoa, Ctenophora, Tentaculata, Lobata, Bolinopsidae.